Molecule: ribosomal RNA, 217 nt
Filed under: uncultured bacterium
Lineage: Bacteria
Description: partial 16S ribosomal RNA
Rfam family: Bacterial small subunit ribosomal RNA
Source: RNAcentral
UACGUAGGCAGCAAGCGUUGUUCGGAGUUACUGGGCGUAAAGGGUGCGUAGGCGGCUUUUUAAGUUUGGUGUGAAAUCUCCCGGCUCAACUGGGAGGGUGCGCCGAAUACUGAGAGGCUAGAGUGUGGGAGAGGAAAGUGGAAUUCCUGGUGUAGCGGUGAAAUGCGUAGAUAUCAGGAGGAACACCGGUGGUGUAACGCUUUCUGGACCAUAAACU